This 856-nucleotide ribosomal RNA is filed under the name uncultured bacterium. RNAcentral's name for it is "bacterial SSU rRNA". It matches the Rfam family "Bacterial small subunit ribosomal RNA", at positions 94 to 954 of the family's 1533-position model. The record is from RNAcentral.
CACGGCGCACGGGUGCGUAACACGUGGGCAAUCUGCCCUCCGGUGGGGAAUAACCCCGCGAAAGCGGGGCUAAUUCCGCAUAACAUUCCCUGGACUCUGGUUCGGGGAUUCAAAGCAGCAAUGCGCCGGAGGAGGAGCCCGCGCCCGAUUAGCUAGUUGGUGAGGUGACGGCUCACCAAGGCAAUGAUCGGUAGCUGGUCUGAGAGGAUGGCCAGCCACACUGGAACUGAGACACGGUCCAGACUCCUACGGGAGGCAGCAGUGGGGAAUCUUGCGCAAUGGGCGAAAGCCUGACGCAGCGACGCCGCGUGGGGGAUGAAGCUUCUCGGAGUGUAAACCCCUUUCGACCCGGACGAAACGCCCGCAAGGGUUUGACGGUACGGGUAUAAGAAGCCCCGGCUAACUACGUGCCAGCAGCCGCGGUAAGACGUAGGGGGCCAGCGUUGCUCGGAAUUACUGGGCGUAAAGGGUUCGUAGGCGGUGCGGUAAGUCGGAAGUGAAAUCUCUGGGCUUAACUCAGAGGCUGCUUUCGAAACUGCCGUGCUAGAGUGCGGGAGAGGCGAGUGGAAUUGCAGGUGUAGCGGUGAAAUGCGUAGAUAUCUGCAGGAACACCCGUGGCGAAGGCGGCGCGCUGGACCGUUACUGACGCUGAGGAACGAAAGCUAGGGGAGCAAACAGGAUUAGAUACCCUGGUAGUCCUAGCCCUAAACGAUCAGGACUUGGGGUGCCUUCCGUUCGGAAGUCGUCCCGGAGCUAACGCGUUAAGUCCUGCACCUGGGGAGUACGGUCGCAAGACUGAAACUCAAAGGAAUUGACGGGGGCCCGCACAAGCGGUGGAACAUGUGGUUCAAUUCGA